CAGUAGCCGCGGGAAUACGAAGGGUGCAAGCGUUACUCGGAAUUACUGGGCGUAAAGCGUGCGUAGGUGGUGGUUUAAGUCCGUUGUGAAAGCCCUGGGCUCAACCUGGGAAUUGCAGUGGAUGCUGGGUCACUAGAGUGUGGUAGAGGAUAGUGGAAUUUCCGGUGUAGCAGUGAAAUGCGUAGAGAUCGGAAGGAACAUCUGUGGCGAAGGCGACUAUCUGGGCCAACACUGACACUGAGGCACGAAAGCGUGGGGAGCAAACAGGAUUAGAUACCCCGGUAGUCCCUGUCUCUUAUAA
Molecule: ribosomal RNA, 301 nt
Filed under: uncultured bacterium
Lineage: Bacteria
Description: partial 16S ribosomal RNA
Rfam family: Bacterial small subunit ribosomal RNA
Source: RNAcentral